Molecule: microRNA precursor, 103 nt
Filed under: Marmota monax (woodchuck)
Lineage: Eukaryota; Metazoa; Chordata; Mammalia; Rodentia; Sciuridae
Source: RNAcentral
AAUGGGAUAGCUGGGUCAAAUGAUGGCUCCAUUACCAGUUUUUUGAGGAAUCUCCAUACUGCUUUCCAUAGUGGUUGCACCAAUUUGCAGUCCCACCAGCAAU